CUCACUUACAAACCCUAACCCUACAAGAGAACAUAUACUAACCCUUGGAUCCAAUCCAACGGUUCUCAUCAUCUACAUUGUCCUAUAAAUACUAUCCCUAACCCCACACUACCAACCGAGGUCCGCCGCCACCCACCUCUUCUUCUAGCUGAAAACCUAGCCCACAAUUCGUUCGCUGUGCUAACCUCGAUGCUACCAACCAUACCACUCAAGUCAGCCUCCUCUCCAGUAUUGCCGCCGCGUCUUCUUCCACAACUCAUCAUUUUUCCUCCUAUUGAUCGGAUCUAGUGUCAAACUCUCCGGAGAAGUCGUCAAACCCCUUACAGACACAUCUCCCCCUAAAUUGCUGAUCUGUCGGGCUAGAGAGGUCGCCGGUCGGCGAACCCUAAAGAUCGGCCCAUGCGUUGACAUUCAUGGUUCUAUCAAAUCGGCAGAGGAUUCGUGCCACGCUAUGGUGCAAGUUGCGCCCCAAAUUGUGUUGCAGGGGAGGCCGUGGUACGCUAUGAGAUGGUUCGAAUUAGCUAGUCGUGACGCGAAUUUCGAUUUGGAUCAUGUGGCAGGUCUUGUGUAUGGUACUAGUAGAUUCAGUAUUUGGCCUGAUUGAACUGUGGAGAACAUUUAUUGAUGUAGAUAGAUACUGGUAUAUAAUUUUACUACUUGUAGUAUGGGCGUAUCUCUGGCUAGCAGCUCUGUACUCUGCAGGGUACUGGGAAUUGUGGUGGACUCUUUUGGGAGGAUACACGAGCUGCAUGUGUCUCCAUAUGCUUUAUUUAGCACGUUUGCUGUAGUCUGAUGUGAAUUGUCUUCAGGGCAGAUGCUAAUUCCAGAGAUUUGAAACCUGUAAGGUCUACAGUAGGCUUGUUCUGUUCAUCUGGGGAUUUUCAGCCUUUUGAUUCAAGACCUACCUGUAAGGUUUGAGCUUUGAUUUGUCAAAAGCUUAAACCUUAUUCAGCAAUGAUGAAGUGGAUAGGCACAAGUAUCAAAGUUUACAUAGGGAUAGGGGGUGCAGGGAGCUAUUUUAUUUUUUGUAUGGUUUUAACUAGUACUAAUCUCGAUCCCAUCUGUGAAUCUUGAUAGGAGCAAAAGAUGUAGGUUUCCAAAGGUUUUUGAAAGUGUGCCAAGUUUGUACUUGUUUCUGUUGCUUCCUGGAUGUGUCACUAGUUAUGCUGUACCAUGUGGUCAUUGGUUGUAUCAGAAUGAACUUGCAACCUGGUUCUGGUUUUGAGCAAACAGUUGUGUAAUGGGCUGAAGCAAUAGCAAAAGAGAAAAGUGAGUUUCAAACA
This is a long non-coding RNA of Aegilops tauschii subsp. strangulata, 1283 nucleotides long. RefSeq lists it as uncharacterized. NCBI's taxonomy places the organism in Eukaryota, Viridiplantae, Streptophyta, Magnoliopsida, Poales, Poaceae. The record is from RefSeq and is a predicted model, not a curated record.